RNAcentral lists this transfer RNA (69 nucleotides) under Bacillus sp. S3. RNAcentral describes it as "tRNA-Asn". The stretch from base 6 to 64 matches the Rfam family "tRNA", at positions 8 to 63 of the family's 71-position model. From Rfam's summary of the family: Transfer RNA (tRNA) molecules are approximately 80 nucleotides in length. The record is from RNAcentral. Lineage: Bacteria; Bacillati; Bacillota; Bacilli; Caryophanales; Bacillaceae.
GCCUAUAGCUCAGCUGGUUAGAGCAAUCGGCUGUUAACCGAUCGGUCGUAGGUUCGAAUCCUACCUGCG